Molecule: long non-coding RNA, 150 nt
Organism: Etheostoma spectabile (orangethroat darter)
Lineage: Eukaryota; Metazoa; Chordata; Actinopteri; Perciformes; Percidae
Exons: 3
Source: RefSeq, a predicted model, not a curated record
GCUGUUUGGGGUAAUUAAAAGUCACCAGCUUUGAAUGUUAUCAGCCAAUUGAAUGGGCGUUAUCAGUUGUUAUCACUACCGUAUGAGGCGGUAUAGCCCUACUCCACCUCCUUGUUGGUUCAAUAGACCGUUGUCAUCUAUUGGUAAGCU